CAGUAGCCGCGGGAAUACAGAGGGUGCAAGCGUUAAUCGGAAUUACUGGGCGUAAAGCGCGCGUAGGUGGUUUGUUAAGUUGGAUGUGAAAUCCCCGGGCUCAACCUGGGAACUGCAUCCAAAACUGGCAUGCUAGAGUAUGGUAGAGGGUGGUGGAAUUUCCUGUGUAGCGGUGAAAUGCGUAGAUAUAGGAAGGAACACCAGUGGCGAAGGCGACCACCUGGACUGAUACUGACACUGAGGUGCGAAAGCGUGGGGAGCAAACAGGAUUAGAUACCCCAGUAGUCCCUGUCUCUUAUAC
RNAcentral lists this ribosomal RNA (301 nucleotides) under uncultured bacterium. RNAcentral's name for it is "partial 16S ribosomal RNA". It matches the Rfam family "Bacterial small subunit ribosomal RNA", at positions 509 to 807 of the family's 1533-position model. The record is from RNAcentral.